CCACCAUGCUGCAAGCAACAAGGACACUAGUCUAAAGACUCCAGCAAAGGGAACUGGCCCAAAUUUCAAAGCGGGGAUUCCUUACCGAUGACUAAGUGACCAUCAUGGGUCUGCCAAGCCUAUGGGUUUCCCCCCACAGACUACAGGCUUUUUGGUCCUUGCUACAGGGAAAUCCCAAGAAUCUACACAUCAGAUCCUCGGCCCCAGUGAUUGCUCUUCCCUCUCUGGGGUAGAAUAUGGCAGCCGUCUCUCCUGUGCAUGUCACCGCGUGGAGGUUGGGAGGUGAAGAAUUGCUGCAGUUACAGGGGAAAUUUGAAGUGGAUUGCAAUAUCCCGUACUGCCCUCUCGGGCCUGAUUCUCUACUACCUUGCCCUGGGUGCUGGGUCUCACACCUGCACCAAGUGAGCAUGACACCUCAGCAGAUCAGAAAAGCAACAUAUUGGACAUAUGGCACUCACUUGGUGUCAAUGAUGACUCGAGGUUUCUCUGCUCUGGGAGUUGGAGGUAUUAUUUCCAGCUCAAGCAGACCUACCCGUGCUAGCUCUGAUCAAGCUAACAUGCUAAAUAUAGCACAGCUGCGGUAGUAUGAACACCGGGUAGAGCUAGCCACAUACUCAGGUGGACUCCUCUGACUGCUCACGUCUCUAUUUUUAGGAUAGUAGCUCCAUCAAAGCUCACCUCAUAGGUAUGUAUCCUUGAGCUGGAGAUUACACCCCCAGCUCAAAGGAUAGAAGCACUCACAGCAUACAGCAGUGGAUAACAAGGCCUCUAGUCUUAUGGGCUGUUUCUCCUCUCUCUUGCACAUCUGUAAAUCAGGAGACGUUCCAUUGCCCAGAAGACGCAGACUUGGUGACUGCAUUUAGAAAAGGCCAGGCUCUCACGGUUUAGAGCCUAUCGAAGAUGCUUGUAAUGGUGGCAUUUUCAUAACUGGGGAUUGAAUUAGAUUUCACACAUAUAUUCAUCCUGGUUUGCAGGAACCUAGCAUGCCUAGGAAAUGUGACACUCUCCCCCAACACACCAAUGAAACCAGAAUUGUUAUGUGCCCUCUUGCUAGUGUUAUGUUUGUUUGAACAGAAGUCUUGUAGAGUCACAUGCCCUGACCUUAGCCACAGAGGUACUAAAAUCCAACAAAAUACUGUAGUAAAGUGAUAUCAAGUGGGGAAAGGCAAGACAGACAAAGAAUCCACACGCAAAGCUAGAACUCUCAUGCUUUUACCCAUGAAAGCUCAUAAUCCUAUAUAUUUAUUAGUCUGUAAGGUGCCAUAGGACUAUUCAUUGUUCUUACGCACAUCAGGUUAAUUCUUAUGCACAUCAGGUUAAUUUAAUGACAAGGAUGCAAUGGUAACACUCAUGUUCUUUCAUUUUUGUGCUUUAAGAAAGGCCUUCAACGUUACUUGAACAUAUUUGGAGAGGAUUUAAUUUCCUUUGAAUUCUUCUCUUUUUAUUUUUAAACUAACAAAUGAAGCUGCUUUUUCUCUUCGUGCCCUAUGACACACAUACCCUCUGCAUUCUACAGAGCUACAGUAGAGCUGGUAGCUGUUUUGAAUAGUUGAAGAAUAAAGCAGUAUUGAUCUGAAAGCUUGUCUCAUAAUUUGAUGUGGAUUGAGUCAGAAACUGGAGUCUGCAGAAUGUUAACAUCAGGGAGGUGAAUACGGCAGAGUAGAAAGGUUAGCUGAAAAUGGAGAAUUAUUUCCAUUUGGAAAGACAUUUCCCAUGAAUAUCUUUUCCAUAUAACAUAGACCAA
Long non-coding RNA from Pelodiscus sinensis (Chinese soft-shelled turtle), 1744 nucleotides. RefSeq lists it as uncharacterized. The record is from RefSeq and is a predicted model, not a curated record. Lineage: Eukaryota; Metazoa; Chordata; Testudines; Trionychidae.